Acipenser ruthenus (sterlet) is the source of this 728-nucleotide long non-coding RNA. RefSeq lists it as uncharacterized. Lineage: Eukaryota; Metazoa; Chordata; Actinopteri; Acipenseriformes; Acipenseridae. The transcript is spliced from 3 exons. The record is from RefSeq and is a predicted model, not a curated record.
GGGUUAGGGAGAUAAAAUCAGCUGGGGAUAGUUCACCUAAUUGAUCAGACAGCAGGGCAGAGAUUACCCAGGCUGGUUCCUCCUUGCCUUGGCAUUUUCAAACUGGGCUGAAAAACAAGAAAAAGAAGAAAAAAGGGGCAUAAAAAAUAAGGCACUCAAUCAUUCUCUUUAGAGGUUGUCUCGGAUAGUUAUAUAGGGGAGAAUAGUUUUUAUUGACUUUACUAAUCCUGUCUCGUUUCGCGGUGGUUUUCUCUUAGAUACGCUGCAAAUAGAAAUCACUAUGUACGUGGUAGUAACGGGACAGUCACACGAGGAUGUCCUAGAGGUGAUUCUGCAGUGGGUAAGGGAGGCUUUCAAAGUCAGACCAGAAGAUGAAAUCGAUGUGGUUCAUUAUGUUUCUGUGACGUAUUCUCCGAUGGAAGACAUACCGGUACUUUAACGGAAUGGUUCAAAAAGGGACGAGGUAACUUGUGUCCUUACCUUUGUGGGACAGAAACAGUCGUGCAUCUAAACUGCCGUCGACAAGUAACUACAGGGUGCUGUUUUCAACAGGGGUGAUUUUAUUAAAAAAACAAAACAAAAACCAAACAAACACGUUGCUUCAUUUCAAGUUGCCUUUUGUUCCUCAUUUGAAAUUUAUAUCCAUUAAAUACUUCUAAUUACAAAUUGUGUCAUGUCUUUUAUUAUUAUUAAUAUUUUCUUGCAGGUAUUUUUGGUCACAUCAUCCA